This 253-nucleotide ribosomal RNA is filed under the name uncultured bacterium. RNAcentral's name for it is "partial 16S ribosomal RNA". It matches the Rfam family "Bacterial small subunit ribosomal RNA", at positions 524 to 776 of the family's 1533-position model. The record is from RNAcentral.
UACGUAGGGUGCGAGCGUUAAUCGGAAUUACUGGGCGUAAAGCGUGCGCAGGCGGUGAUGUAAGACAGGUGUGAAAUCCCCGGGCUUAACCUGGGAACUGCAUUUGUGACUGCAUCGCUGGAGUGCGGCAGAGGGGGAUGGAAUUCCGCGUGUAGCAGUGAAAUGCGUAGACAUGCGGAGGAACACCGAUGGCGAAGGCAAUCCCCUGGGCCUGCACUGACGCUCAUGCACGAAAGCGUGGGGAGCAAACAGG